RNAcentral lists this small nuclear RNA (20 nucleotides) under Arabidopsis thaliana (thale cress). RNAcentral describes it as "snRNA_01193". Lineage: Eukaryota; Viridiplantae; Streptophyta; Magnoliopsida; Brassicales; Brassicaceae. The record is from RNAcentral.
UCUUCAGAGUACACAACUCU